AGAAUCAACGCUGGCGGCGUGCCUAACACAUGCAAGUCGAACGAGAAAGGGGAGCAAUCCCUGAGUAAAGUGGCGCACGGGUGAGUAACACGUGACUAACCUACCCUGGAGUGGGGGAUAACUGAGGGAACCUUAGCUAAUACCGCAUAAUACCCACGGGUCAAAGGAGCAAUUCGGCUCCAGGAGGGGUCGCGGCCGAUUAGUUAGUUGGCGGGGUAAUGGCCCACCAAGACGAUGAUCGGUA
Molecule: ribosomal RNA, 244 nt
Filed under: uncultured bacterium
Lineage: Bacteria
Description: partial small subunit ribosomal RNA
Rfam family: Bacterial small subunit ribosomal RNA
Source: RNAcentral